AGGGAAGUAGGCUUCAGGCAAGAAUCUGAUUUUGGGCUUGGACAGGAAAGUAGGCUCAGAUAUCUUGGUCAUCCUGAUAAGGCCUUAGAAACAAUGAUCAUGGGACUGUGUUUAUAGUCUUGCUUGUUCCUUGACUAUUUGUGUUUAUUGUGCUGCUUGCCCUUAUUACUCGCAUGUACUUAAAAUGGUAUAAAAGCAGAUUGGGAAAAAAUAAACCCGCCCCAGAACUGGCUGGGGUCCUGUUACAAUGUUGUCUAAUUGUCUUUUUUUCUUUUUAGUCCUCAGUCCUGCACUGGAGAACCUGUUGACUGACUGAGCUGGCUUGGUUAGAGGAUGGAUGCUGUAAGAAUGUCGAAAUCUUUUCACCUUUCUGUCCAUCCCUCCUCCCUCCCUCCUUCCUUCUUUCUUUCCUUCCAUCCUUCUCCCUGUUCUUUCCUUCCAUUCUUCUUCCUUGUUCCUUACUUCUGGUCUUUCUCCUGUUCCUCCCUUGCCCUCCUUUCUCUUGUCUUCCUCUGUCUCUAUUUCUCUCUCUCAUUCUUUUAUUCUUUCUUCCUCUCUUGGUCUUACUAUGUAGCCCAGGCCACUCCUCACUCUUCACCCCCCUCAUUUCUGGCAUCACAGGCAUAUGUCAUUGUGUUCAGCGAGAAUAAUGAACUAUAGCAACAAAGGUUAACUUCCUUAUAAACUGGUAGACUCUCAUAGUCUCCAGGAAGGGCAUACUUCUAGAAUGAGGAAGAACUUGACAUUUUAAUAGGGUUAGGCCACUGGAGUUGAAUCUCAACAG
Molecule: long non-coding RNA, 784 nt
Filed under: Mus musculus (house mouse)
Lineage: Eukaryota; Metazoa; Chordata; Mammalia; Rodentia; Muridae
Description: long non-coding RNA chr5:9185971-9186755
Source: RNAcentral